Molecule: ribosomal RNA, 740 nt
Filed under: uncultured Acidobacteriota bacterium
Lineage: Bacteria; Pseudomonadati; Acidobacteriota
Description: bacterial SSU rRNA
Rfam family: Bacterial small subunit ribosomal RNA
Source: RNAcentral
GAUCCUGGCUCAGAAUCAACGCUGGCGGCGUGCCUCAGACAUGCAAGUCGAACGAUUAAAGCUCCCUUCGGGGAGUGCAUGGAGUGGCGCACGGGUGAGUAACACGUAAGUAAUCUACCCUCGAGUGGGGAAUAACAUCGGGAAACCGAUGCUAAUACCGCAUAAUGCAGCGGCACCGCAAGGUGACAGUUGCUAAAGAUUUAUCGCUUGAGGAGGAGCUUGCGGCAGAUUAGCUAGUUGGUAAGGUAAUGGCUUACCAAGGCUACGAUCUGUAACCGGUCUUAGAGGACGGUCGGUCACACUGACACUGAAUAACGGGUCAGACUCCUACGGGAGGCAGCAGUCGGGAAUUUUGGGCAAUGGGCGAAAGCCUGACCCAGCAACGCCGCGUGAAGGAUGAAGUAUUUCGGUAUGUAAACUUCGAAAGAAUGGGAAGAAUAAAUGACGGUACCAUUUAUAAGCUCCGGCUAACUACGUGCCAGCAGCCGCGGUAAUACGUAGGGAGCAAGCGUUGUUCGGAUUUACUGGGCGUAAAGGGCGCGUAGGCGGCGCGGUAAGUCACUUGUGAAAUCUCUGAGCUUAACUCAGAACGGCCAAGUGAUACUGCAGUGCUAGAGUGUAGAAGGGGCAAUCGGAAUUCUUGGUGUAGCGGUGAAAUGCGUAGAUAUCAAGAGGAACACCUGAGGUGAAGACGGGUUGCUGUCCUAACACUGACGCUGAGGCGCGAAAGCCAGGGGAGC